CCUACGGGAGGCAGCAGUAGGGGAUAUUGCACAAUGGGGGGAACCCUGAUGCAGCGACGCCGCGUGGGGGAAGAAGCGCCUCGGCGCGUAAAGCGCUGUCAUAAGGGAGGAAAAUGACGGUACCUGAAGAAGAAGCACCGGCUAACUACGUGCCAGCAGCCGCGGUAAUACGUAGGGGGCAAGCGUUAUCCGGAUUUACUGGGUGUAAAGGGGGCGCAGACGGCGAUGCAAGCCAGGAGGGAAAGCCCGGGGACAAACCCAGGGACUGCUCUGGGAACUGCGUGGCUGGAGUGCAGGAGGGGCAGGUGGAAUUUCUGGUGUAGCGGUGAAAUGCGUAGAUAUUAGAAGGAACACCGGUGGCGAAGGCGGCUUGCUGGAACGCAACUGACGUUGAGGCCCGAAAGCGUGGGGAGCAAACAGGAUUAGAUACCCUAGUAGUC
Molecule: ribosomal RNA, 440 nt
Filed under: uncultured bacterium
Lineage: Bacteria
Description: partial 16S ribosomal RNA
Rfam family: Bacterial small subunit ribosomal RNA
Source: RNAcentral